GCCUCCAGAGGCAGGCUCGCAAAUGCGAAAAGGACGAAAAAACCGAGAAAUUGAAGGUAAAAAAGGCAAUCGAAAAGGGGAACAUGGACGGCGCGAGAAUCUACGCCGAAAACUCCAUUAGGAAACGCAACGAACAGAUGAACUACCUCCGGCUUGCCUCACGGCUCGACGCCGUGGUGGCGCGGCUCGACACCCAAGCCAAGAUGACUACGAUUAGCAAGUCCAUGGGUAAUAUUGUUAAAUCGCUCGAGUCCUCCCUAGCUACUGGCAAUUUGCAGAAGAUGUCUGAAACUAUGGACCGAUUUGAACAACAGUUCGUGAACAUGGAGGUGCAGGCUGAGUUCAUGGAAAGCUCGAUGGCUGGAAGUACUUCGCUUUCGACUCCAGAAGGUGACGUUAAUAGUCUUAUGCAGCAAGUGGCGGAUGAUUACGGUCUCGAGGUGUCCGUGGGUCUGCCCCAGCCAGCUGCUCAUGCAAUUGCGACCAAAAGCGAUGAAAAGGUGGACGAGGAUGAUCUUUCGAGGCGCCUUGCAGAGCUCAAGGCCCGCGGGUAAAGUUUGAAUAUUUUUCUGAAAUUGGGGAGAAUUUGGAGCUCUGGACUCCUGAUUACUGAUAAUAUGUGAUAAUACUAGAUUUAAUGCCUAAAUCAUAUUAUCUCUUGCAUUGGUCAAGGUUUUAUUGUGUAAAUUUGACUAUAUCAUGAUUGUGGACAUGUGACUUUAUGCUUAAAUGUUAUGAUGGAGUGUUCCUUCUGCUUUUGUAUUUUGUGCAAGGAAAUGUUUUUCUUUGAUCGACAGUAGAACACUGCUCCAUUUUGAUAUAUUGGGUCGAACGCUUUUGAUGACCAUAGCAUGUGGCACACCUGAUAAUUUGUGCCUGCAGAAAUGACUAUUAACAUGUACGUAGAUAGAAAUUACGACAUUUUCAAUUUGUGCGAGUUAUUUUGGCUUUGGCAUUCUCAAACAAGAAAAAAAUAAAAAAUUGGAACAUAAUUGUCGGCUUGAGUUGAUUUUGCAUAGAGUUUUGCUCCUUCAUUUGUUUGUCUGUGCUUCUCUCUCUCUCUCUCUCUCUCUGUGCUCACGCGUGUGUUUUCAAGAACACUUUGCUGUAUUGCUGAAGGCCGUUAUAUCUUACUUACCAUAUGAAGAUUUUAAGUUAGCAAUCUGCUCAGUUUCUGGGGGCCUAAAUAUCUCUGCCAUCCGAUUUGGAUGAGCAAGAUAUUAAUGUUGAUUUUAGACAAACAAUACGCAGAACAAUAAUUCAAUUCUGUUCCCUGCCAUAGCCUAUUUUUAAGGUCAUGAUGAACUUAGUCUAUCCUGACCCGAUUGAAUUUGACUUCUUAUCAUGGAGGCAAUGGCAACUAAAUCCACUGCAUCACCACCAGAGUCUAUAUAUCCUUUCUUCUUUUGUUUCUCUUAUUCUGCAUCUCAAUCCUUAACUGGUGUAGCCAAAGUACUAUGCAAUGUAUUUCUAGAUAACCCCACCUCCACCCCCAACAAGCUGAGGACCUUUUUAUCCAGCUUUAAUGUAAUUCUAUCAGGGCUAGAUCUCGAAAUCUGAUUGCAGUUACCAAGUCAAAAUUUUCUGUUCAACAGACCAAGUUAAGAAGCACUUCUAAUGUUCUGCGUGGCAAGUGAGAGUUGAUGAAACAGAAAGAAUGGAAGGAAUGAACUGGUGUGAAAGAUGGACCCAUGAUCUUAUAUGUUAAUUGCCAAUAGAUAAUCUGGGGCUUAUGGUCUUCAUUCACAUCUUGAACAUGAGAGUGGUUAAUCAAAAAACUAAAUGCAUGCCCUACAUGCUAACAGUUUAUUGACAUUUGAUGAAUACACUUUGGAAAUAGGGUAAUUCGUUGGUAUACUAUAUCUAUAUGUAUUUUAGAACUUCUUAUUGUAUAGACUAUCUAUAUUUGAAGUGCUUGUUAUAUUUUGCCUUUAGAAGUGAUGCUUUUGAUCACUGGUUCCUUCAUAAAGUUUGAUUUAUGAUUUUGAUAAAUUGUAUGGAUGGAAGACUAUAAUUUGGGGCCGGGCCGAAAUUUAAAUUAUUAUCUGUCAGUUGGGAGAUUUCAAAAUCUUCUGUGAAAAAGUUAAAACUUUCUUACAGAUCGAAGUCUUUUAUAAGUUACGAGGUUUCUCUUGCAUAAAAUCUUUACCAUGCAGCACUUGUUACUAAGAUAUAAUUGUCUAUCCUGCAGUGACUUCUAAUCUGCCCCAAUCAAACAAUUCCCUUAAGGACAAAUCUGGAUAUCAGAAAUUUGGUUUUUCUCUGUUUUCAUAUCUCCCACUUCUCAUCUUUCUAGUGCUUAGCCCGUCUAUAGCAUACCUAUAUGCUCCUUUUAUUAUGCUGUUUAUAUAUGAUGCUUUUAAACAGUAGUAGUUUAAGUAGAUCGUGUUUAAUCUGGCUACUCUUUCUCCUUUAAAGUUCUGGUAUCAAGAAUUGUGGAUUUUGCGAUGUACCCAGUAUCUGUUAUCUGCAGUAUUGUUUGGUAAUGGGAUUGUCUUGUGAUACUUGGUGGUUCUUUUUUUCUAUGACAAGUAGCAGUUCAUGAAGUUGUUCACUCCAUGUCGUCAUAGAUUCUACGACAAUGUCACGAAGAAUUCUCACCCGUUUACAAGCAAAUUUUUUCCGUCAUAUGGGACAAUAGGAGACUGACAUUUCGCACUAGAAUGAUUCCCUGCAUACUGGGAAUUAUUCGCACCUGUAUGGUGCAUUUUCUUUUAUUAUUGUGCCGAAAAUUUAUGAAAAACUUCCGAGUGUUCCUCUGUGAAAAUUUUGUCAAGCAUUUUGUCCCUAUAGCAUAACUAUUCUCACCACUAGUAAUAAAUUUCAUACUUACCUACAGGAACUAGUCUUUCUACCCGUCCAUGAUGUCUAUCUGGCUAAAUUUUUUCUGUUUCUUCGGGUUUAAUUGAACUCGUGAUCAUGGUUUCUCUUCUCAAUAACCCUUUAUUUCUAACUAGUACAUUGUACUGUGAAAGUGUGAAGCAAUCAACAUAUUUUGUAAUGUACUAGUGCAAUGUUACAUUGCUAAAUUGUUACUAUGCUACUUUGGACGAUUUUCAUGCGUCCUACUCAAUGGAAGUAGAAAAGAAUCAAUAUUCUCAUGUAAUAUUUGCCACAUAAACGACUAUAUUUGCUGAAUAUGGUAUCUUCGCAAGCAACGAUAAAAUAUUUGUCGAAAGAAUUUUGUAAGAGGACUUUCACUCGCUCACUUUUCUUCUGUUAAAUAUUUUUUCCUUCAAAUCAUAAAAAUUGUUCUAUAAAAAAAACUAGAAAUAUAAAUGGAUUUGUAGCACCCACAUGAUAUUCCCAAAAAAAUAAAAAAUAAAUAGAGGGAAAAAAAGAGAGAGAGAAUCAAAAUCAUGUUAGUCAGACCUAAAAAGCAACAGUAGUUUCAUCAAGCAGACAUCAAUGCAAUAGCAGCAAAUUGUAACAAAAUGGCACAAAGCUCCUACGAACUACAAGUUCAUCUUUCAACCGUUUAAUUGGAUAAGAACCAGACGAACAUUAACAGAAGAAUUUUAAAAGUCAUCUUAACUCUAUUCUAACAGGUGGAAAACCAAAAUGUAGCAAUAGUCUUGUUUGAGUUUCCAAAUGAAAUGUUAUUUCAUAUACACCAAAGACAUACAAAUGAUUACCACCAGUGUCUUUCCCUGAGGACAUUUCAAGGAAAGCUUCGAGGACAUUCAAAGUUCUUCCAUGAUCUCGUAGCAAGGAAAUAAAUGUACAAAACCAUUCCCUGAGGACAUUUCAAGGAAAGCUUCGAGGACAUUCAUAGUUCUUCCAUGAUCUCAUAGCAAGCAAAUAAAUGUACAAAACCAAAGGGAAAUUGGAAGUCGUUCUUUGCUUACGCCAUGGCCCUAAAUUUAAUAAAAGUACCCCAGAACUUGACCACCUAAAUUUUGUCUAAUUGCCUCUUCAUGAUCCAAAACUCCAUUUGGUGUAGUAAUUACCACAUAGCCCCACUGCACGAAGAGAAGAACAGAGACAAGGUAAAUGGGUGUUCAAUGAACUUGAGCGUGUAAGGAAUUCCUCAAUGAAUCAUUAUCAAAAGACAACCACGACAGCUCAAGUGAAAAGAAAAAAUGGACACGAUACAAUGACAGUCUAAAAUUAGCUUCAUGGACUCCAUGUCUUACUCACAACAGAGUGGUAAAGCACUCCAAAUACUAAUUUUAAGAUUAAAAAAAAUAGUUCCGAGGUCUUAGGGGAGAGUACACAAAGCAUGACUCUCUAGCUUUUGAGCCAAAAUUAUGGUAAUUGUUGUUUCAAUAAUUAAAAAGAGGGAAUUAUACUUUGACGAAUAAUGUGACAAAGAAUCUCAAAUUUAUCUCCGUUUGUAACCUUAAGUUUUCAAAAAGUUAAAGUAUUGAAUUAACAUUAUCAUAAUUUGUGGUUGACAUGAACUAUGCAAUAAUAAGUAUAACUGAAAAUUACAAAGUUUAUUGUCUUACUGAUUUGCUCUGUAACCUUCUGCAAGUACACGACAACUAUUUAUAAAUGUAACAAAUUUAUAUAAUAAAGGUGAUGAAAGGAAACUAUAAAGCAAUACAUUUGAUCCGGAACAUGUUUGGGUGCUUGCUUAUUUUACUUAUAAGGAGAGGACAAAUAAAUUUCUGUUCCCUAUGAAUUGAUCUGGAAUUCCAUUUGCAUUCAUAUUUUUCGCAUAUGAGUUGAUCUAUAUUUAUUGACUGUCAAUUCUGGACGUCCAUUUACAUUCCGCUUGUACCCAUGAGUUUAUCUACACAACUUUACCAUCAAUUAUGAAAUCAAUUUAAAUUUGUGUUACCUGUAUGAAUUAAUCUACAUACAUUUACAUUUAUCGCAGUUUUCACAUUAAGUUCUCUUCACUGCUUAAGAGAAAAAUAGUAGAAGACGAAUAAAUUAAACGAUUUUAUGCUGAUCUUUCAUUAAAAUUAAAAUUUUGAACAAUGUAAGUCGACAUGUCCUUGCAACUUAGAUAUUCAUCAUUUAUGUAAUUUUAGGACAAUUUUCUUCUUGACUUACAAGAAAUAUGUAUACACCCAAACCAAUUAUUUUAUAUUCUAUAUUUACUAAUUCCCAUUAGUCGCCAUAAAGUUUAAACUCAAGGUAACAUAACAUGAUAUGCAUAGAUAUUUAUGGCAAGAGUUGUUUAACAUAGCAAUCGUAUAUGAAGCGCUGAGGUGUCAAAUAAAAUGUUGUCUGUACUUCUCCAUGAAGUCCCAACUACUAGUGCCUUAGUUUAAUAAAUUUCAAUAAGCUAGCCUUAAACUUCUGAAGACCGUGUUAUAGGGAGUACUUGCACUAUUUGCUGACACUGUAAGUAACCAGUCAGGUGGAUCAGUGUCUCAUAACUCACAAGCUCAAUCCUUCAAUGCAUGUGAAUUAUAAAAAGCAGGAGGAUAGACAAUUUUUGGCACAUUUAUAGCAUUAUCUUGAUCGGAACAUCUUAUUUUACUAUGUUCAACUCUACGUAUUCCUCUAUCCAUAGAGUAUAUUUAAAUUUGAAUAUACAGAAAUGGCUAUAACAGAGUUUCUCUUAUUUGUAUUAACAGCUUCUUUAAGAGGAAUGUAUUUAUGUAGUGCUAACGAUUUAAUAGCUAUCUUUGUAAUUUGAUACAUAAACUUGACAAUAAAAAGCCAAACAAUCUGUUUGACCAUCCAAUCACAUUCUACGACAAAAAAUUUAAAGGAUAAUACACCUAACCUAAUUAAUUACAACCAAAAGAUAGCACUAAGAUAGAGAAACCAUGACACUGCACAUUUGCAAACAUUAUUUAGAAUAGAUUAGUUUGAAUUUACAUAACACAAUUUAUCAUCAAUAAAAUUUUAGUGCAUCGACAAAAUAAGAUUUGGAAUUUUCUAACACGCCAUAUUUGGGCAUAUCUAGAGUUUUGCAGUAAAUUAAAUCGAACUUGUUCACGUUAGACUGAUGAUUCAACUCAAGAAAUACAACCAAAAUCCUCAAAAUUCUAAAUUAAACCACAGUUCACUACUUAUCAUCCCCCCUCCCAGAUCAGCCCCAACAACAAUCAGCACAAUAAAACCAAAGGCAAGAACAAUGAAUAGAGAACCUGAUGAGUAGGAAGCGUGUCUGUUUUGUAAUUCUUGAUGUUAUGAGCCUUGAUAUCCUGUCUAUAAGUGAUAGCCCGACAAUCAUUAAUCCUCCCCAGCAGCUCCACAGUUAUCCUCCCCACUCUAUGUGGAUCAUGCACUUGGAAAUCCUUGAUAUACCCUGCUAUUUAUCCAUCAGUGCACACUUCUUCGUUUGCCCAUCUUUUAGGAACAAGUAAAAAUCAAAACCCAUUUCGCUAUAAUUCAUCUUUGAGAUCAAUUAAAAAGACACAACACGGAUAAGCGAUUAUAUAUCCACCGUACAUAUAUGCACACUUUAUAUACAAACAAGCUUUAUAUAAUUUAAAAAAAAAAAAACUGCAAGAAAUUGUAAAAAAAUUAAUUCCAACCCAUUUGCUUAUAAACAAUUUUACAACAUGGUCAUUGAUUGAAAACAUCACAAAUCAAUGAACAUAUACAUAACAAAUACAUACAUAUAUAGAUGCACAUGUAUACGUGUACCUCGGUAUUUCAUGAUUUGAAGGAAAGAAGCCAUGACAUUAGAGAUGGGCUUAAGCUCCGCCGAAGCGAAGCCUCUCUUUUCGGCGUUGACGAUGGUUCUCAAGGCAUCGUUCAAUAUUCUUCUCCCCAUUUCGGCAAACCCUUUUUCUUCGUUUCUCGGGGCUACAUUUUUAAGGGCAUUUUAAAAUUGGCUUGAUCAAAUGAGUAAGCCCUUGUUUGAGUACAAUUUUUUUGAAAAAAAAAAUAUUUUUAAACAGUAUUUCGACAUUAUUUUAAUCACAUAUUUUUCAAUAAAAUAUUAUUACACGUAAAUUUAAAACUUUUCUUUAUUUUUAACCACACAUCUCAUAUCAUUACACUAUUUUAAAAUGUAUUUUCUUGGCAAAAAUAGAGUUCAAAUUAUACAAAAAUUUACUCUUCAGAAGUAAGAAUAUAAUUUAUACUCAGUUGUAUGUAAUUAUACUCUUCGAGAGCAAACAAAAUCUCGUUAGAAUAUUAAUGAAAAUUAUAAUGUGCUAUUUCAAUAUUUUAGUAUAUUUUACUAAUACUUCAAGAAAAAUAAAUCAAUAUUCUUUUGAAAUAUGAAGAAUUUUAAUGGUAUGCUCUUCAAGAGGAAUAGCAUAUUAUUGCUAUAGAAGAGUAUAAUGAUAUAAAAUCUAACCAGAAUGUCAAUAUUUAAAUACGUUUAAAGAAGAAUGGACGCAUAAAUAAAUAGUGUAAUUUAAUUCGUUAUUUUAUAUAGAAUUAAUCAAUAACUUCAGGAAUAUUGAAAUUAUAAUAUCAUGUUCUUUUGGAGCAAUCAAUAUUCUUUUUUAAAAUAUUAAUAACGUCGUGUUUUUUAGGAAUAUCAAUACAUUUUUUUAAUAUUAAUUUGUGCUUUCUUCAGGAGCACAACGAGACAUAUAACUUUCAAGAGUAUAAAUAAAAUAUUCUUCUGGAAUAUUGAUAUUAACAACUCGUUCUAUUUUUGAGCUAAACAAUAUAAUAUUAAAAUUUGUACUCUACAUAAGUACGAAUGAAAUAUUUUUCUGGAAUAUUUAUAUAAUAUGGGUUGUGUUUCUUUAAGAACAUCAACACUAUAUUUGUUAAAAAUAAAUAUAAUUUAAAUUACGAUUCUUCAAGAACAUUGAAUCAAUAUUCUUCUAAAAUAUUGAAAUCGUAACAUCAUGCUCUUUAUAAGCAAAUAAUAUUCUUUUAAAAUAUUAAUAAUGUUGUGCUACUUCAAGAGCAACUAUUUAUAAUAGAUAGAUAUACAAUUAAUACUUUUUUGGAAUAUUAAUUAUAAUGUUUUGCUACUUUUGGAGCAACAACAUAAUAAAUUAUGAAUUUAAAACUUAUAAAAUAAUAUCUAAAAAUAUUUAAUUGCCAUAUAAACAUGAUAUGAAUUUAUAUAGAAAAAUUAAUUACUAAAUAUGCAUUAGGAAAAAAAUCUCCAUACAUAGAAGUUAAUAAAAUUGGCUAAAUUUUUUCCAACAUGCAAAAGAUAUUAAACAUGCAUAUAAAUUCCACAUAUACAAAAAUCAAAUGUAGAACUAAUAUGUGGAAGACUCAAAAAACAAAAUUAAUAUGUGAAUAAUAUUUGACAAAAUUAGUUAUACAUGAAUCAAAAGACAUGAAUUAAUAUAUGUAUAAAUUAUACAUACAAACGUAAAUUAAAAUUAAUAUGCAUACCAACGAAAGGUAAAGAAGAAUAAGCAACCUAGUUAUGAUGUAUAUGUACAUUGAAAGAAUUCACAUGCCACUAAAUUAAUUUUAGUAUAUGUGAUAAAUAUUUAUACUUAUAAAAAAUAUUACCACAUUUACUAAACUUUGAAAAAUUAAACUAUUGUGCUGAUAACGUGUUGUGAAAAGAGAAGAGAAUAGAGAGAAGUCAAUAAAUUUGUGUGUGUUUUUAUUAAAAACCAAAGUCCUAAUAAGAAUUAUGGAUACAAUGGUAAUAAAUUCUAGAGCUGCAGGGGUGAAAUUAUCAUUCACUAACAAACCCUAAUAAACUUACCAUUUACAACAUAAUAAAUAUUUUAAAUUCUUCAAGUAAAAACAUAAUUGCAAUCUAAUACUGAAUCACCUAAAUUUCGGUUCAAUACUCGAGGAUUUAUUUACACCUUCUAAUGCUAAAACGCUUUAGGCCGCCCAUAGGUAUAUAUCACACGGGGGAGAAAAAACGCUCCACAAACUACUAAAGUCGUUAAAAACGAAUCAAAUUUCGAAGAAAAAGGGAAGGAGGUUAAUUGUAAUUUCGGUCAUUGAACUUAUAUUGAAAUCCUGAUUGGGUAAAUCAAAUUCAAUUUGCUCGAGAUUAAAUAAUUGAACUUCAAUAUAUCUUAUUAGUCCUUCCAAUGACUCUAUUACUAAAAUAAAUACACAUUUGAUUUAUACGUUGAUUUUAUAACAUAAAGAAUCAUUCACGCGUCUUAAAUUCUUAAAAUCAGAAGAUGAAGGGUUCUAAAGUGUACAUAAUCAUUAUUUUUUAUUAGCAAGUUUAAAUCCACAACUCACCCAAACUCGAAAUUCAUAUUGAGAAAAUGGUAGGGUUCUUGCCCUUUCAGCUAUUUUCACAAAAUGGUCUCCAAAAUUUUGUCCACACAACCUCCCUAAACAAAUAGGAUGAAUCGGUUAGUUAGGAAUUGUAAACUACCUUCGUCCCGACCACUAGAGAAAAAGACGAAGAUAGGAAACAAGGUCCCCACCGCGACUCUUAUUUCCUCUUUUGUAAUUUUUCAUGUGUUUAAAUUUAUACUAUGUUUUAUUAAAAUGAACAAGAACAAGUAAAUAGGGCGGGAAAUCCCAUCCCAGCUCUGCCGUCCCCUUCGCCAUCUUAGCUUGAGUUAACCCGAUGGCUAACAUUUUAACAUUAUUGAACUUUAGUGACUUGAAUGCAAAUAAUUAAAAUAAAUAAUUCAAUUGAAAUUUCUAUGAAAGUUCGAUAACCAAAAUUGAAAUUAAUAAAUGGAACCCUAUUGUUUGCCAACCCCAAAUUGAUCGCAGACAAUUCAGCUCUCUCUGUAAAAAUUCUCUGCAAAAUCGAAUAUGGGUAACACUGAGAAACUGAUGAAUCAGAUCAUGGAUCUGAAAUUCACCUCGAAGAGCCUCCAGAGGCAGGCUCGCAAAUGCGAAAAGGACGAAAAAACCGAGAAAUUGAAGGUCAAAAAGGCAAUCGAAAAGGGGAACAUGGACGGGGCGAGAAUCUACGCCGAAAACUCCAUUAGGAAACGCAACGAACAGAUGAACUACCUCCGGCUUGCCUCACGGCUCGACGCCGUGGUGGCCCGGCUCGACACCCAAGCCAAGAUGACUACGAUUAGCAAGUCCAUGGGUAAUAUUGUUAAAUCGCUCGAGUCCUCCCUAGCUACUGGCAAUUUGCAGAAGAUGUCUGAAACUAUGGACCGAUUUGAACAACAGUUCGUGAACAUGGAGGUGCAGGCUGAGUUCAUGGAAAGCUCGAUGGCUGGAAGUACUUCGCUUUCGACUCCAGAAGGUGACGUUAAUAGUCUUAUGCAGCAAGUGGCGGAUGAUUACGGUCUCGAGGUGUCCGUGGGUCUGCCCCAGCCAGCUGCUCAUGCAAUUGCGACCAAAAGCGAUGAAAAGGUGGACGAGGAUGAUCUUUCGAGGCG
Molecule: long non-coding RNA, 10166 nt
Filed under: Olea europaea (common olive)
Lineage: Eukaryota; Viridiplantae; Streptophyta; Magnoliopsida; Lamiales; Oleaceae
Description: long non-coding RNA (OEUR_LNC003629)
Source: RNAcentral